CCUACGGGAGGCAGCAGUGGGGAAUAUUGCACAAUGGGGGAAACCCUGAUGCAGCGACGCCGCGUGAGUGAAGAAGUAUUUCGGUAUGUAAAGCUCUAUCAGCAGGGAAGACAUAGCGACCUUUGGGUCGCCAGACGGUACCUGACUAAGAAGCCCCGGCUAACUACGUGCCAGCAGCCGCGGUAAUACGUAGGGGGCAAGCGUUAUCCGGCUUUACUGGGUGUAAAGGGAGCGUAGACGGCAGCACAAGUCUGAAGUGAAAUGCCGGGGCUUAACCCCGGAACUGCAUUGGAAACUGUGCAGCUAGAGUGCAGGAGAGGUAAGUGGAAGUCCUAGUGUAGCGGUGAAAUGCGUAGAUAUUAGGAGGAACACCAGUGGCGAAGGCGGCUUACUGGACUGUAACUGACGUUGAGGCUCGAAAGCGUGGGGAGCAAACAGGAUUAGAUACCCUGGUAGUC
RNAcentral lists this ribosomal RNA (458 nucleotides) under uncultured bacterium. RNAcentral's name for it is "partial 16S ribosomal RNA". It matches the Rfam family "Bacterial small subunit ribosomal RNA", at positions 338 to 795 of the family's 1533-position model. The record is from RNAcentral.